RNAcentral lists this ribosomal RNA (424 nucleotides) under uncultured bacterium. RNAcentral's name for it is "bacterial SSU rRNA". The stretch from base 48 to 424 matches the Rfam family "Bacterial small subunit ribosomal RNA", at positions 934 to 1322 of the family's 1533-position model. The record is from RNAcentral.
UUCCCCCCGUGCCCCCGCCCCGCCCGGGGCGCGCCCCGGGCGGGGCGGGGGCACGGGGGGAACGCGAAGAACCUUACCUGGUCUUGACAUCCACAGAACUUUCCAGAGAUGGAUUGGUGCCUUCGGGAACUGUGAGACAGGUGCUGCAUGGCUGUCGUCAGCUCGUGUUGUGAAAUGUUGGGUUAAGUCCCGCAACGAGCGCAACCCUUAUCCUUUGUUGCCAGCGGUUAGGCCGGGAACUCAAAGGAGACUGCCAGUGAUAAACUGGAGGAAGGUGGGGAUGACGUCAAGUCAUCAUGGCCCUUACGACCAGGGCUACACACGUGCUACAAUGGCGCAUACAAAGAGAAGCGACCUCGCGAGAGCAAGCGGACCUCAUAAAGUGCGUCGUAGUCCGGAUUGGAGUCUGCAACUCGACUCCAUG